GCACAAGCGGUGGAUGAUGUGGUUAAUUCGAUGCAACGCGAAAACCUUACCACCUUUGACAUGUACGGAAGCCUUUAGAGAUAGAGGCGUGCUCGAAAGAGAGCCGUAACACAGGUGCUGCAUGGCUGUCGUCAGCUCGUGUCGCGAGAUGUUGGGUUAAGUCCCGCAACGAGCGCAACCCUUGUCAUUAGUUGCUACAUUCAGUUGGGCACUCUAAUGAGACUGCCGGUGACAAGCCGGAGGAAGGUGGGGAUGACGUCAAGUCCUCAUGGCCCUUAUAGGUGGGGCUACACACGUCAUACAAUGGCUGGUACAAAGGGUUGCCAACCCGCGAGGGGGAGCUAAUCCCAUAAAGCCAGUCGUAGUCCGGAUCGUAGUCUGCAACUCGACUACGUGAAGUCGGAAUCGCUAGUAAUCGUGGAUCAGAAUGUCACGGUGAAUACGUUCCCGGGUCUU
This 456-nucleotide ribosomal RNA is filed under the name uncultured Rhodoferax sp. RNAcentral's name for it is "bacterial SSU rRNA". It matches the Rfam family "Bacterial small subunit ribosomal RNA", at positions 923 to 1382 of the family's 1533-position model. Lineage: Bacteria; Pseudomonadati; Pseudomonadota; Betaproteobacteria; Burkholderiales; Comamonadaceae. The record is from RNAcentral.